GUUCUUGUAGUUAAAUUUGUAUAACAGUGGCUUUUCAGGCCGUAGAUCCCGGAGAAAGUCCGGGCAGGAACU
RNAcentral lists this transfer RNA (72 nucleotides) under Turdus merula (blackbird). RNAcentral describes it as "tRNA-Glu". It matches the Rfam family "tRNA". From Rfam's summary of the family: Transfer RNA (tRNA) molecules are approximately 80 nucleotides in length. Their secondary structure includes four short double-helical elements and three loops (D, anti-codon, and T loops). The record is from RNAcentral. Lineage: Eukaryota; Metazoa; Chordata; Aves; Passeriformes; Turdidae.